RNAcentral lists this unclassified non-coding RNA (384 nucleotides) under uncultured bacterium. RNAcentral describes it as "contains 16S-23S intergenic spacer region". The record is from RNAcentral.
UCCUGGUUUCCCAGGCAGUCCCACCAGAGUGCUCUGCAAGCAGAUAGCAACUGGUAGCAAGGGUUGCGCUCGUUAGAGGACUUAACCUAACAUCUCACGACACGAGCUGACGACAGCCAUGCAGCACCUGUGCAAUUGUCCAGAAUAAAUCCUGGAAAGCCAUAUCUCUAUGGCGGUCAAAGGCAUGUCAAGCCCAGGUAAGGUUCCUCGCGUAGUGUCGAAUUAAACCACAUGUUCCACCGCUUGUGCGGAUCCCCGUCAAUUCAUUUGAGUUUUAAUCUUGCGACCGUACUCCCCAGGCGAAUCACUUAACGCGUUAGCUUCGACACUGAUCCAGCUAAGCCAGACCAACGUCUAGUGAUUAUCGUUUACGGCGUGGACUAC